Molecule: transfer RNA, 73 nt
Filed under: Limulus polyphemus (Atlantic horseshoe crab)
Lineage: Eukaryota; Metazoa; Arthropoda; Merostomata; Xiphosura; Limulidae
Description: tRNA-Lys
Rfam family: tRNA
About the family: Transfer RNA (tRNA) molecules are approximately 80 nucleotides in length. Their secondary structure includes four short double-helical elements and three loops (D, anti-codon, and T loops).
Source: RNAcentral
GUCCCUAUAGCGCAGUGGAUAGCGCGUUGGAUUUUUACUCCAAAUGUACCGGGUUCGUUCCCCGGCAGAGAUG